RNAcentral lists this ribosomal RNA (74 nucleotides) under Pisolithus marmoratus. RNAcentral's name for it is "partial 28S ribosomal RNA". The record is from RNAcentral. Lineage: Eukaryota; Fungi; Basidiomycota; Agaricomycetes; Boletales; Pisolithaceae.
ACGAACCGUGUCCCGCGCUUCUCUAACUCGGCAGAGGGGGAGCUUUCGUGCUCUUCUCCUUGCCCUUCGAAGGC